AUUGAACGCUGGCGGAAUGCUUUACACAUGCAAGUCGAACGGCAGCACGAACUUCGGUCUGGUGGCGAGUGGCGAACGGGUGAGUAACAUAUCGGAACGUAUCCAAUAAUGGGGGAUAACGAGUCAAAAGAUUCGCUAAUACCGCAUACGCCCUACGGGGGAAAGCUGGGGACCUUCGGGCCUGGCGUUAAUGGAGCGGCCGAUAUCUGAUUAGCUAGUUGGUGAGGUAAAGGCUCACCAAGGCGACGAUCAGUAGCUGGUCUGAGAGGACGACCAGCCACACUGGAACUGAGACACGGUCCAGACUCCUACGGGAGGCAGCAGUGGGGAAUUUUGGACAAUGGGCGCAAGCCUGAUCCAGCCAUUCCGCGUGAGUGAAGAAGGCCUUCGGGUUGUAAAGCUCUUUCGCAAGGGAAGAAAACUUAGCCACUAACAUUGGUUGAGGUUGACGGUACCUUGAUAAGAAGCACCGGCUAACUACGUGCCAGCCGCCGCCGUAA
This 500-nucleotide ribosomal RNA is filed under the name uncultured bacterium. Its description in RNAcentral is "partial 16S ribosomal RNA". It matches the Rfam family "Bacterial small subunit ribosomal RNA", at positions 30 to 523 of the family's 1533-position model. The record is from RNAcentral.